AUGGAUCGUUCAUCGGAUAAGCUGCCACCAACCAUUCAUAACGUCGUGGUCACGGCCAUGGAUUCCUCCUUCUCCAGACGCUCCCUAUGCCUCCUCCUCCUGGCCGUCUGCCUCCAUGGCUCCCCCGCCACGUCCCGCCCGGCCACCAAGGACACUGACCCGAUGACGCUGCGGAUGAUGGAGCAGCGAUUCCGGCGAUGGAAGGCGGAGCACAACCGGACCUAUUCCACCCCGGAGGAAGAGCGCCACCGGCUCCGCGUCUACGCCCACAACGUGCGCUACAUCGAGGCCACCAACGAGGACGCCGGCGCCGGGCUCACCUACGAGCUCGGCGAGACCGCCUACACCGACCUCACCAGCGACGAGUUCAUGGCCAUGUACACGUCGCGGGCGCCGCCCCUCUCGGACGACGACGACGCGCCGAUGAUGAUGAUCACCACCCGCGCCGGGCCGGUCGACGCCGGUGGACGGCGGCAGCAGGUGUACGUGAACGAGUCGGCCGGCGCGCCGGCGAGCGUUGACUGGCGCGAGAGAGGCGCCGUCACGGCGGUGAAGAACCAAGGCCAGUGCGGAUCGUGUUGGGCAUUCUCCACCGUAGCGGUGGUCGAAGGAAUCUACCAAAUCCAAACUGGGAAACUUGCCUCGCUCUCAGAGCAAGAGCUGGUGGACUGCGACAAGUUGGACCAUGGUUGCAAUGGUGGAGUGAGCUAUCGUGCGCUGCAGUGGAUCACCUCCAACGGCGGCAUCACCUCCCAGGAAGACUAUCCAUAUACAGCAAAGGAUGACACUUGUGACACCACAAAGCUUUCGCACCAUGCCGCUUCCAUCUCAGGCUUCCAACGUGUGGCAACGAGGAGCGAGCUAUCGUUGACAAACGCGGUGGCCAUGCAACCCGUGGCGGUGUCGAUAGAGGCUGGCGGAGCCAACUUCCAGCACUACCGGAAUGGCGUGUACAAUGGUCCAUGUGGGACGCGGCUGAACCAUGGCGUUACGGUGGUAGGGUACGGGGAGGACGAAGUGACUGGGGAAAGUUACUGGAUCGUGAAGAACUCGUGGGGUGAGAAGUGGGGCGAUAGUGGGUACCUCAGAAUGAAGAAGGGCAUCAUAGACAAGCCCGAGGGGAUAUGCGGCAUCGCCAUUCGGCCAUCUUUCCCGUUCAUGUGA
RNAcentral lists this ribosomal RNA (1164 nucleotides) under Triticum aestivum (bread wheat). RNAcentral's name for it is "partial small subunit ribosomal RNA". Lineage: Eukaryota; Viridiplantae; Streptophyta; Magnoliopsida; Poales; Poaceae. The record is from RNAcentral.